This 253-nucleotide ribosomal RNA is filed under the name uncultured bacterium. RNAcentral's name for it is "partial 16S ribosomal RNA". It matches the Rfam family "Bacterial small subunit ribosomal RNA", at positions 524 to 776 of the family's 1533-position model. The record is from RNAcentral.
UACGAAGGGGGCUAGCGUUGCUCGGAUUUACUGGGCGUAAAGGGCUCGUAGGCGGCCAACUAAGUCAGACGUGAAAUCCCUCAGCUUAACUGGGGAACUGCGUCUGAUACUGGAUGGCUUGGAUUCGGGAGAGGAAUGCGGAAUUCCAGGUGUAGCGGUGAAAUGCGUAGAUAUCUGGAGGAACACCGGUGGCGAAGGCGGCAUUCUGGACCGAUAUUGACGCUGAGGAGCGAAAGCCAGGGGAGCAAACGGG